Molecule: non-coding RNA, 31 nt
Filed under: Mus musculus (house mouse)
Lineage: Eukaryota; Metazoa; Chordata; Mammalia; Rodentia; Muridae
Source: RNAcentral
UUCAGGCCAUAAAGAUGGAGAAACCUCCCUG